CGUGGAGUAUAUCAGAGGUAGAUAGCCAGGCUCAUAACCUGGAGGUCGGUGGUUCGAAUCCAUCCUCCGCAA
This 72-nucleotide transfer RNA is filed under the name Caudoviricetes sp. RNAcentral describes it as "tRNA-Met". It matches the Rfam family "tRNA". From Rfam's summary of the family: Transfer RNA (tRNA) molecules are approximately 80 nucleotides in length. Their secondary structure includes four short double-helical elements and three loops (D, anti-codon, and T loops). The record is from RNAcentral. Lineage: Duplodnaviria; Heunggongvirae; Uroviricota; Caudoviricetes.